GAUGAACGCUAGCGACAGGCCUAACACAUGCAAGUCGAGGGGCAACAGGGAACAAGCUUGCUUGUUCUGCUGGCGACCGGCGCACGGGUGAGUAACACGUAUGCAACCUGCCCGUCACAGGGGGAUAACCGGGGGGAAACCCCGCCUAAAUACCCCCAUAUUAUAUAGUUAUUGCAUGAUGAUUAUAUGAAAACCUUGGUGGUGACGGAUGGGCAUGCGGUGCAUUAGCUAGUUGGUGAGGUAACCGGCUCACCAAGGCGACGAUGCAUAGGGGUUCUGAGAGGAAGGUCCCCCANACUGGUACUGAGACACGGGACCAGACUCCUAGGGAGGCAGCAGUUGA
RNAcentral lists this ribosomal RNA (343 nucleotides) under uncultured bacterium. RNAcentral's name for it is "bacterial SSU rRNA". It matches the Rfam family "Bacterial small subunit ribosomal RNA", at positions 28 to 358 of the family's 1533-position model. The record is from RNAcentral.